UGCAUAUGCAUAAUAUUGAGUUCUUUCAUGAUUAUCCAAGGGUUAAUUUUUGAUGAUGAAUAUACUAAUGACCAAACAAUGUUUUAUUACAUCUUUGAAGUGUAUUUUUUGUGUGAUUUAAUCCUUGGAAUAUUACAUCGGAUUUGGAAGGACAUUCAGAGUUUAAAACCGUAUCCUCCGAGAAGUAAAUUUAACAUAUUAUUUUCUGUGUUGACUGUUUUACCGUAUUACGAGACGUAUUUAAUCUUGGCUAAUCCUUACGAAGAGCAUGUCAGAGAUUUCUGGAGAGUUAAAGUUUUCUUCAGAUAUGUAAAUAUAUUAAAAUAUUUUUUGUCUGAAUUUUAUAUUUAAUUUAAUACAUAUAUUUUUUAGAUAAUAAUUUACGAACAUCUUUUCAUCAGAAACUAUUACUUUACGAAUAUUUCUCGAAUAGUCCUUGUAAUGAUAAAACAUUAUUUUGUUUUAAUUUCAUUAUCCGUCUGUGUUGGAUUGUUAUCGUUUGUUUUCUUGAAAAAUUUAGACAAUCGGAUGGAUUUUAAAAUACAAGCAAUAAAUGUUUUUGAUUUUGGUAACAAGACUGAUAAGGAAUGGUUUUUAUUAUUGGCGAUAUCUGCUGGCUAUGAUGUUACACAGAAUUUAUUUUACCUAAUGCAACCACAAAGUGUUCUUGAAAUACUCCUUGCACUAUUAAUAUUUCUAAUUGGUUUCUAUUUACUAACGAUAACAUUAUUUACAAGAGCAUUAUUCUUCUUUUCAAUUUAUCUUACCAACAAGCAAACAUAUUUAACAAGCAACUUUAAAACCAAUCUUUUCAUAAACUUCCAGAAAUAUAUCAGGUACAUUUAUUCAUUAAUUAUUAAAAAUUUUUACUACGAAAAAUAUUUUUAGAAAAAUAUUACUCUGGAUAUUUUCUGGGAUGCCAUUCGUCAUACUCACAUCUUUAGAGAUAUUCCCCUCAACAUAAAACGUACAUUAUCUUCAAAAAUGUCGGAAAUUUCAAUGUCGGCCGGUGAAUAUCUAUACAAAUCCGGCGAAGCUAAACAAAAAUUAAUCUAUAUUGUAUUUGGUAACGUGCAUAUUAUUCAUAAUCAUCAAAUAUUUUAUCUAAGUUCAGGAUCACUCAUUUGUGAAUUAUCCUGUGUUCUGAUGACACACAGUAAUGCAGAUAUUAAAUGUGUCACGGAUUGUACAUUUCACAUUUUUGAAUUAAAUGAGUUUUAUAAAGCAAUAAA
This is a long non-coding RNA of Dalotia coriaria, 1232 nucleotides long. RefSeq lists it as uncharacterized. Lineage: Eukaryota; Metazoa; Arthropoda; Insecta; Coleoptera; Staphylinidae. The record is from RefSeq and is a predicted model, not a curated record. The transcript has 3 exons.